GCGUAUAUUUAAGUUGUUGCAGUUAAAAAGCUCGUAGUCGGAUUUUGGCUGAGAACGGUCGGUCCGCCGUUGGGUGUGCACUGACUGGUCUCAGCUUCCUGGUGAGGAGGUGUGCUUCAUCGCCACUUAGUCACCGUGGUUACUUUGAAAAAAUUAGAGUGUUCAAAGCGGGCUUACGCUUGAAUAUAUUAGCAUGGAAUAACACCAUAGGACUCCUGUCCUAUUUCGUUGGUCUCGGGACGGGAGUAAUGAUUAAGAGGAACAGUUGGGGGCAUUCGUAUUUCAUUGUCAGAGGUGAAAUUCUUGGAUUUAUGAAAGACGAACUUCUGCGAAAGCAUUUGCCAAGGAUGUUUUCAUUGAUCAAGAACGAAAGUUGGGGGCUCGAAGAUGAUUAGAUACCAUCCUAGUCUCAACCAUAAACGAUGCCGACUAGGGAUUGGCGGAUGUUAAUUGAUGACUUCGCCAGCACCUUAUGAGAAAUCAAAGUUUUUGGGUUCCGGGGGGAGUAUGGUCGCAAGGCUGAAACUUAAAGGAAUUGACGGAAGGG
This 547-nucleotide ribosomal RNA is filed under the name uncultured marine picoplankton. RNAcentral describes it as "SSU rRNA". It matches the Rfam family "Eukaryotic small subunit ribosomal RNA", at positions 597 to 1164 of the family's 1831-position model. The record is from RNAcentral.